GCAUCUAUAAAAGGGAGCGGGGGAGAGAGGGAGCAGUGUGAGGGAGCACGGGUCUAGGCGGUAGCUGCUUGCGGCAGCCGCGGCGGUAGGCAGAGGUGGUCCUGCUGGCCGUUGGUGGCACGGGCAAGCAGCUCAGGCGCACGAGGAGGUGGUAGGGGAUGCGGCGGACUCUGGUGGGAAACCUCGAGUUGCGGAGACGUUGCCCGAGGAGCAGCAACAGGGCAGGGGCUGGCGGAGGUGCUACUGCGCGCGCUUCUGCGAGGCUGGUGAAGCAGGAGCGGAGGGACCGGGGCUGGAGCUGGUGGUGCUGGUGGCGGCGACGAAGUGGCGCGGUGUCGUGGCGUAGCUGGCAGGGCAGAAGUUGGGGCUCCAGGCCGCGGCAAGCGGCAGCAAAGGCAGCGCGGACGACGAGGAUUGGAGAGCUGCCCGGAGGAACACGGAGGAGCUGGGGCUCUGGCGACGACUACGGCGACACUAGUUGAUACAGCUGCUGCUGGGGAAGAAGAACAGACUCGUUGGUCAACUACGUUGGUCUACCACCUAGGUACCUCGGUCUACGGUGGGGGCGGCUGAUGAUGAUGAUGGGUUUCCCACGGAAGAUGAUGCACCUCGGCCAAGUACCUUGCUGCUGAUCCUCAUCAAUCCUCCAGGGUCCGUCCUCCGGAACGGAGAAGCUAACAACUACAAACACGAUCGGAAGAAUUCCGUAGGAACUAAUUGAAUACAAACAUGAGUCUAUAACAACGAAGGCGACUGAGAACGCAUAGCUCGAACAUAAGCUCGGGAGCUCCGGGAACCGAACAUUAUAUUUCGAACAUAAUAAAAUAAACACAGAUCUCAACACAACACUAUAGAAGGGCACUCAGGGACUAGAACUAGCAUGUGUAAACGCACAUACUAAUCACAUGCUAACUUAGCCCCCGCAGUGUACCCUGAUGUUACGGAUUUACUAACUGAGAUCACCUUCACCCUCUGACAACCCCUAUACUAGUUAGUACUGUACUACUAUAAAGGGAUACAUAAGUACUCAAUAGGUAUAACAGGUAUAACAGGAACUUGUAGUAGUCACUUUACAUAGUUAUUUAUACACUGAACUAACACUC
This 1103-nucleotide ribosomal RNA is filed under the name Triticum aestivum (bread wheat). RNAcentral's name for it is "partial small subunit ribosomal RNA". Lineage: Eukaryota; Viridiplantae; Streptophyta; Magnoliopsida; Poales; Poaceae. The record is from RNAcentral.